This 31-nucleotide non-coding RNA is filed under the name Homo sapiens (human). Lineage: Eukaryota; Metazoa; Chordata; Mammalia; Primates; Hominidae. The record is from RNAcentral.
AAACUGCGUACAAGAAUUCCUCAGCCACUGC